RNAcentral lists this ribosomal RNA (460 nucleotides) under uncultured bacterium. RNAcentral describes it as "partial 16S ribosomal RNA". It matches the Rfam family "Bacterial small subunit ribosomal RNA", at positions 338 to 795 of the family's 1533-position model. The record is from RNAcentral.
CCUACGGGGCGCAGCAGUGAGGAAUAUUGGUCAAUGGGCGAGAGUCUGAACCAGCCAAGUAGCGUGAAGGAUGACUGCCCUAUGGUUUGUAAACUUCUUUUAUAUGGGAAUAAAAUGUUCCACGUGUGGGAUUUUGUAUGUACCAUAUGAAUAAGGAUCGGCUAACUCCGUGCCAGCAGCCGCGGUAAUACGGAGGAUCCGAGCGUUAUCCGGAUUUAUUGGGUGUAAAGGGAGCGUAGGUGGAUUGUUAAGUCAGUUGUGAAAGUUUGCGGCUCAACCGUAAAAUUGCAGUUGAAACUGGCAGUCGUGAGUACAGUAGAGGUGGGGGGAAUUCGUGGUGUAGCGGUGAAAUGCUUAGAUAUCACGAAGAACUCCGAUUGCGAAGGCAGCUCACUGGACUGCAACUGACACUGAGGCUCGAAAGUGGGGGUAUCAAACAGGAUUAGAUACCCCUGUAGUC